GCCUUAACCCGUCUCUCCCCGCAGCCCUGAGCCGCCCGGCGGAGCUCGCAGCUGCACGGGGCCGCGGGAGCUCGGGCUGCGGAGAUCCGGAGGGCAGGGAGGGGUGUUGGCAGGCCAACAGAACUUAAUAGGGGCAUGUAAAGAGAAACCGUUACCCAUGGACCUCUCCAGGCCAACUGGCACGGGGGAUACAAGAAUACCCUGAUGCAGAUCAUUUUUCCUGUUUUUCAAGAUCAUUUUGAAUUCCAAUCCUUUCCUCCAAAGUGCUUGCAACCCCUCCCAGUUUGCUGUCUUCUGCAAAUGUUAUAAUUGUACUCUCUGUGAUGCCAGCAGACAAGUGCCAGCUUAUGCCAAAGUUCCCAUGUGUCUAUUGAACACUGACAAAUACGUACCUGGAAUAAGUCUGGUUUAUCUCUGUGUUAGUAUUGUUACAAUGAUAUUAGAAUUAUAAGAAUGUGUUUAGACUUUAUUGAAUGCUUGUGAGUUGCUGGAUGCAUUAAUCUCACUUAUAACAUCUGUAUCCGUAUUGCAAGAUAAUGUUUGAGUGGUUGUAUUUCAGCCUCAGGGACUGUGUAAAUCACCGGACAGGAGAGUGGCAUUAACCAGCAUGAAGUGCUGAUCACACCAGGAAAGGUCCAUUGACACACACCAGGAAAGGUCCAUUGUCACACACUGGACUAUUGUGGGAUGUUAAAGAGGACAAAAGAUGUUGGUUGUUCUGCCCUCCGCCCCCAUAAAGAUGAGUCAUGCAAAGCGGAUUCCUCCCAUCAGUUGAAUUUGCAGCUCAGAGCACAUGGCAGGAGGGGGAUAAAAACACCAAAUAGAAGAAACAGGAUCUUUAUGCUGCUUGCACUCUGGGGAGGGGGACAAGGUUUACUAGGCAUAAGCAUGAGAUUCCCAGCUGCUUAGCCUGGGUUAGCCCGAAAGGGCAUAUGAACUUCCUUAUUAUAGAAGUUUCUAUUACCUUUUGAAAACUAAGAUUGUACCUCAUUUGUGUGUAUAUGUUUAUCUGCUUUAACUCGGUAAAUAACUCUCAUUUCCUUUUCCUAUUUAAUAAAUCUUUAGAUACUUGAUUGUAGGCUUGGCUAUAAGCAUUGCCUUUGUGUGAGAUCUAAGGUGCAAUUGUAAAUCAAAGUCUGAAACUCACUUCCCUCCUUAGCCCACCAGAGCCCAGAUUUGUUAAUCUUCCAGGAGACUGUAAAACCCACCUUUCCCCCAGGCAUUGAGCAGGUUGAUGUGCUGGAGCAGUCUCAUUACAUUCUGAUCACUUCGCUGGCUUGGGGAAUAGACACAUCUUCAUUUUUUAUAUAUUGAAUACUGUUAUUUUAAUCCAUGGAAAGAACCUAGGGUGCAAGAUGAGUACUAAAAAGUUUAAAGAGGUAAAUAAAGGAGUUGGGGAGAGCUGACCCAUAGCUUUGGAUUUCUUGAUCAUUGUGCUUUGAAAAUCUCACCCACAGUAAAGCUACAACACUGAGGAGCAGAGAAAGCAGAUGUGUUUGUACUGAAGAAAAUAAUACUGUUCAUCAGUCAAGCUCUACAACGGAGGUCAGAAUCAUUAGCCCCAUUUUACAGAUAGAGGAAAAUGAGGAACAGGGGAAGGGAAAUGACUUGACCAAGCCCACCCAGAAGGCCAUAGUAGAGCCAGGAUUAGA
This is a long non-coding RNA of Trachemys scripta elegans, 1652 nucleotides long. RefSeq lists it as uncharacterized. NCBI's taxonomy places the organism in Eukaryota, Metazoa, Chordata, Testudines, Emydidae. The transcript has 3 exons. The record is from RefSeq and is a predicted model, not a curated record.